UACGUAGGGUGCAAGCGUUAAUCGGAAUUACUGGGCGUAAAGCGUGCGCAGGCGGUUGUGCAAGACAGGUGUGAAAUCCCCGGGCUUAACCUGGGAACUGCAUUUGUGACUGCAUCGCUGGAGUGCGGCAGAGGGGGAUGGAAUUCCGCGUGUAGCAGUGAGAUGCGUAGAUAUGCGGAGGAACACCGAUGGCGAAGGCAAUCCCCUGGGCCUGCACUGACGCUCAUGCACGAAAGCGUGGGGAGCAAACAGG
RNAcentral lists this ribosomal RNA (253 nucleotides) under uncultured bacterium. Its description in RNAcentral is "partial 16S ribosomal RNA". It matches the Rfam family "Bacterial small subunit ribosomal RNA", at positions 524 to 776 of the family's 1533-position model. The record is from RNAcentral.